UACAGAGGGUGCAAGCGUUAAUCGGAAUUACUGGGCGUAAAGCGUGCGUAGACGGUUAUGUAAGUCGGGUGUGAAAGCCCCGGGCUCAACCUGGGACCUGCAUUUGUGACUGCAUCGCUGGAGUGCGGCAGAGGGGGAUGGAAUUCCGCGUGUAGCAGUGAAAUGCGUAGAUAUGCGGAGGAACACCGAUGGCGAAGGCAAUCCCCUGGGCCUGCACUGACGCUCAUGCACGAAAGCGUGGGGAGCAAACAGG
Molecule: ribosomal RNA, 253 nt
Filed under: uncultured bacterium
Lineage: Bacteria
Description: partial 16S ribosomal RNA
Rfam family: Bacterial small subunit ribosomal RNA
Source: RNAcentral